This is a long non-coding RNA of Sander lucioperca (pikeperch), 466 nucleotides long. RefSeq lists it as uncharacterized. The record is from RefSeq and is a predicted model, not a curated record. The transcript has 2 exons. Lineage: Eukaryota; Metazoa; Chordata; Actinopteri; Perciformes; Percidae.
UCGGCACCUGCCUAUGCUAUCCAACUGUCCCUGAGGCGGAGAGUUGUUUACUGAACGGAUAGGGCCACCGAGAGACUGCCCUGAAGAGAGUGCUUAGCUAUGUCUCCUAGCAUCAGUUUUUUUGUGGUUCUCUCCAGGGAACAACAAGCAUAAAUUGAAUUGCUCUUAAAAGAGCAGAGUGUUUACAGAAAUAUUGCUUAAAGGCCCCUAUACACUGCGAUUUGGGGCUGUCUCAGACCAGCAGUGACAAUCAUGAGAGUAGAGCUGCAGCAAUGUUAAUCGAGCGAAGGGCGACCUCUAGCUCACUUAGUUAAGUGUGCGCCCCAUGUAGGCUGAGUCCUUUGCAGUGGCUCGGGUUUGAAUCCGACCGGUGGCGUUUUGCAGCUUGUCAUCCCCUCUCUGCCCUCCCCCCUUUCCUGUCUAUCCACUGUUGCUGUCGAAUAAAGGAAAAAGCCCCAAAAAAUAA